This 446-nucleotide ribosomal RNA is filed under the name uncultured bacterium. RNAcentral describes it as "bacterial SSU rRNA". It matches the Rfam family "Bacterial small subunit ribosomal RNA", at positions 329 to 792 of the family's 1533-position model. The record is from RNAcentral.
CACCAGACUCCUACGGGAGGCAGCAGUGGGGAAUAUUGCACAAUGGGGGAAACCCUGAUGCAGCGACGCCGCGUGAGCGAUGAAGUAUUUCGGUAUGUAAAGCUCUAUCAGCAGGGAAGAAGAUGACGGUACCUGACUAAGAAGCCCCGGCUAACUACGUGCCAGCAGCCGCGGUAAUACGUAGGGGGCAAGCGUUAUCCGGAUUUACUGGGUGUAAAGGGAGCGUAGACGGCGAUGCAAGCCAGAUGUGAAAGCCCGGGGCUCAACCCCGGGACUGCAUUUGGAACUGUGUGGCUGGAGUGUCGGAGAGGCAGGCGGAAUUCCUAGUGUAGCGGUGAAAUGCGUAGAUAUUAGGAGGAACACCAGUGGCGAAGGCGGCCUGCUGGACGAUGACUGACGUUGAGGCUCGAAAGCGUGGGGAGCAAACAGGAUUAGAUACCCUUGUA